CUUAUUAAGAGAGGUGGAGGGACAGGCCCUGUGAAACCCAGCAACCAUUCCGAAUGGAAAAGGUGCUAAUUCCUACAAGAUAUUUAUAUCUUGAAAGAUGAGG
RNAcentral lists this non-coding RNA (103 nucleotides) under Paraclostridium tenue. RNAcentral's name for it is "SAM riboswitch (S box leader)". It matches the Rfam family "SAM riboswitch aptamer (S box leader)". From Rfam's summary of the family: The SAM riboswitch is found upstream of a number of genes which code for proteins involved in methionine or cysteine biosynthesis in Gram-positive bacteria. The SAM riboswitch acts at the level of transcription termination control. Lineage: Bacteria; Bacillati; Bacillota; Clostridia; Peptostreptococcales; Peptostreptococcaceae. The record is from RNAcentral.